This 407-nucleotide ribosomal RNA is filed under the name uncultured bacterium. Its description in RNAcentral is "partial 16S ribosomal RNA". It matches the Rfam family "Bacterial small subunit ribosomal RNA", at positions 30 to 526 of the family's 1533-position model. The record is from RNAcentral.
AUUGAACGCUGGCGGCAGGCCUAACACAUGCAAGUCGAGCGGAGCGGCGGACGGGUGAGUAAUGCCUAUGAAUCUGCCUGGUCGUGGGGGAUAGCGUCCGGAAACGGGCGCUAAUACAGCAUACUAUCAGAUGAGCCUAGGUCGGAUUAGCUAGCUGGUGGGGUAAAGGCCUACCAAGGCGACGAUCCGUAACUGGUCUGAGAGGAUGACCAGCCACACUGGAACUGAGACACGGUCCAGACUCCUACGGGAGGCAGCAGUGGGGAAUAUUGGACAAUGGGCGAAAGCCUGAUGCAGCCAUGCCGCGUGUGUGAAGAAGGUCUUAGGAUUGUAAAGCACUUUAAGUUGGGAGGCGUUACCAACAGAAUAAGCACCGGCUAACUUCGUGCCAGCAGCCGCGGUAAUUC